GACGAACGCUGGCGGCGUGCUUAACACAUGCAAGUCGAACGGAAAGGCCCUGCUUUUGUGGGGUGCUCGAGUGGCGAACGGGUGAGUAACACGUGAGUAACCUGCCCUUGACUUUGGGAUAACUUCAGGAAACUGGGGCUAAUACCGGAUAGGAGCUCCUGCUGCAUGGUGGGGGUUGGAAAGUUUCGGCGGUUGGGGAUGGACUCGCGGCUUAUCAGCUUGUUGGUUGGGUAGUGGCUUACCAAGGCAUUGACGGAUAGCCGGCCUGAGAGGGUGAACGGCGUCAUUGGGACUGAGAGACGGCCCAGACGCCUACGGGAGGCAGCAGUGGGGAAUAUUGCACAAUGGGCGGAAGCCUGAUGCAGCAACGCCGCGUGCGGGAAGACGGCCUUCGGGUUGUAAACCGCUUUCGCCUGUGACGAAGCGUGAGUGACGGUAAUGGGUAAAGAAGCACCGGCUAACUACGUG
Molecule: ribosomal RNA, 468 nt
Filed under: uncultured bacterium
Lineage: Bacteria
Description: partial 16S ribosomal RNA
Rfam family: Bacterial small subunit ribosomal RNA
Source: RNAcentral